Molecule: ribosomal RNA, 205 nt
Filed under: Salmonella enterica subsp. enterica serovar Tennessee str. 4535
Lineage: Bacteria; Pseudomonadati; Pseudomonadota; Gammaproteobacteria; Enterobacterales; Enterobacteriaceae
Description: partial 23S ribosomal RNA
Rfam family: Bacterial large subunit ribosomal RNA
Source: RNAcentral
ACGACACGUAUUGCCCGGUAGCUAAAUGCGGAAGAGAUAAGUGCUGAAAGCAUCUAAGCACGAAACUUGCCCCGAGAUGAGUUCUCCCUGAGACUUUAGGUCUCCUGAAGGAACGUUGAAGACGACGACGUUGAUAGGCCGGGUGUGUAAGCGCAGCGAUGCGUUGAGCUAACCGGUACUAAUGAACCGUGAGGCUUAACCUUAC